GUUCAUCCCAUCCAAUAUAUGAAAGGAAUUAGCCUAACAUAAUGUUAGAAUCAAACAAAUAAAAAUUGGAAAAACAUCAUCGCGAAAUUGACAUGAUUAUUGCAAAAGAAAUCUGGAAUUUUUUUGCUUAGCCAUCGACAUCUUUUUCCUUCAAAUUCAGCCCAAUGUUUGAGUCCUUUCCGCCUCUCUUUAUGUGCAUAAUCUUGGCUGCCUCCAAACGUGUAUUUCAGCAACACAAGUUUCCCCCACAAGGUUGCCUUUUCAAUGUAUCUUCCCACUUGGCUGCCUUUGUGAUCAAUCGGUAUCUUCCCUAGUUGACUCCCUUGUCAAUGUAUAUGUAUAUAUAAUGAAUCUUAGCAAUAGGUAGCUCCAAAUUCCCUUUGCUGCUACCUUUUUUUUUUUUUCACUCCCACAGCGCCGUUUUCAGCUCCAAUUUUGAAGUGAUAUUUCAAUCGCUCUCUCCUUGCUUUCUCUGGUACACGUGAUGUGUAUGUGUAUAUAUAAAUUCAGCAAAAGCCCCAAUGUUUUCCUCCAAAUUUCAGCAGCUGGUUUCUUUUUCCUUUCCAAUUUCUACCCCGGCUGCCCUCUUUAUGCAAUG
Molecule: long non-coding RNA, 598 nt
Filed under: Olea europaea subsp. europaea
Lineage: Eukaryota; Viridiplantae; Streptophyta; Magnoliopsida; Lamiales; Oleaceae
Source: RNAcentral